RNAcentral lists this long non-coding RNA (392 nucleotides) under Capra hircus (goat). RNAcentral's name for it is "lncRNA (ENSCHIG00000001202.1)". The record is from RNAcentral. Lineage: Eukaryota; Metazoa; Chordata; Mammalia; Artiodactyla; Bovidae.
UCAAGGGAAUCGCAUAAAAUCUGGGGACCUUCUGAGAACUUGCAUUUUUUUCACUUCUCUCUUUCCUUUUUUUUUUUUUUUUUUUAAUAGCUUUGUAUACUUGUGAGCCUGUAAGCAUAAACAUUUUAAGUGUGGAGGACGAGCCUCUAAAGGAAGACUUGAGGGACUUCCAGCAAAAUAGCAGAAAAUCCUCACUCGCAGGAGCUAUUUAAAGUCUCUGGCCUUGCAUUGAAACUGCGGAUUUGGCAGGAGCAGGUUUCAGCUGGAUUUUCUGGGCAGGCAACUUUACCCUCGUUCAUCACCCUGGACCAAGUUGGAAGACAGCUAACUUAUGCAGGACGAGUUCCCAGAUGUCAUUAAGAGAAUCACUGGGGAGAAAGAAUAUCUUCCUA